Molecule: long non-coding RNA, 1396 nt
Organism: Drosophila guanche
Lineage: Eukaryota; Metazoa; Arthropoda; Insecta; Diptera; Drosophilidae
Exons: 3
Source: RefSeq, a predicted model, not a curated record
AUAGUUGGGAUAGUAGUAGCCCGACCCACGGACUCCUGUCCAGACCCCAUGGCAGGCGGACCAUAAAGCGCUGACAUAAAUCACGGCAAGCCGACAGUGAGCCUCAGCAUAAUCCAGCCGAGACACGGCAGUAGGUCACUCGGAGCAGUUGUUAUAUAAACAAGUUAACUACACGAUCGCCAAGAAACUGGUAUUCAAGCAGAGUCGAGAGCUGUAGAGCUGGAUAGCUCGAGCCACUCGCGGAUUCGCCUUUUUAAUUAUACAAAAUGUAACGCUUGCGUUGGCGUUCCUCAAACUUCGUGGCAAAACAAAGCAUUCUGAGAAUGUUGUGGCAGCCGCCUACCCGCAGAUGAGAGAACGAACCGGAGAUAGAAUGUUGCGGGGGCAAUGCUCAUACAUAAGGCCAUUAUUCAUUAUUCAUGGCAACAGGCGUUGCAUUCAACACAAACAUUAGUUCAUUACAUUGGCCAGACAAUAUUUUGAUGGCUAACAAACCACAAAUUAACCAAUUAAUAGGCGAUGCAUCAAAAGGGAAAGGCCAGAAGGCUCACUCCACAUAGCAUAGCGGAGUUCCCAGCGUUCGGAUGAUACGCCAACCCAGCAACUCGAAACGAACAUUAUUAUGAUGACCCCUUCCGCCUGGGUGGAUGCUGCGUCGAAGUGCUAAAAGUUCGACAGGGAGAAGCUCCAACUUUCGGCUCAGCAGAGCUCCGCCAUAACCCUGGCACUUUUCCCAGGUAAAUGAUUAAUGUUAUACGCACACAGCACUGAGAAUUGGGAAAUUGUUUGGCCAGCCAAUUAGCAACAGAAUUCUGGCCACACAAUGAGUGCGUGGAAAAUGUGAAUGGACUUGGACUUGGUCUUGGAUUUAAGGUCUCUGCAGCACCCCAACUCCCGAUGACACAUUACUUAUGCCGGACACACGCACAAUCCAGAGAGGGAAAUGGAAUGAGGUGGAUGUCCACCACAAAAACGGAUGUCCGUGAUGUGGCUGUUCAAACAGCAAUUGCAGUCUGCUUCUAUUUUGAGGCAUGCCACAUGCAUCCCAUCCAUAUUUGUGUCCCCAGACACACCGGAUGAUGUAACCAUCCGAUCAGCGAACUUGGCAGCCAAUUUUGGCCAUCGCUAACCUUGGGGAAACAGGUUCAAUGCAGAUGGGGACAGUUUUUGCUCGGCAAAACGCAACAAACUAAAGUCCCAUUUAAUUUGCACAGAAAACAAAUUCAGCCUGAGCUGCAGCCUCCUCCUUUUCCACUGCCAAUCACAUUUUCUUCAAGUUUUUCAGGCGAAACAAAACAGCGAACCGGUUUCGUUGAUGGAUUUUUGGCAGAUCCGCGCAGCAUGAGUCGAUUUAUGAAGUCAUCUUUUCAAAGUUUUUGUGUGUUUUUCGGCCAAA